Piliocolobus tephrosceles (Ugandan red Colobus) is the source of this 8929-nucleotide long non-coding RNA. RefSeq lists it as uncharacterized. The transcript is spliced from 11 exons. NCBI's taxonomy places the organism in Eukaryota, Metazoa, Chordata, Mammalia, Primates, Cercopithecidae. The record is from RefSeq and is a predicted model, not a curated record.
AGCAACUCUCCUGAUGAAGAGCCCACAAUGGAUCCUAGCCUAUUCUCUCCAGUCUGAAUUUCUCACCUGAUUUGACGUCUGUGCAUAUGCAGUGCUGCUAAUGUCCAGAAGAGAAUGUGCAUAUAAAGAAAUGAGGGCCACUGAAGGAUGAGUUGGAAACGUAGCUGACACUGGAGGCCCAAGCAGGCAUCUACCUCAAACCCAACGUGAAUCUCAGGACAGGUUUGCUCAGCUUGGUGGGUGGGCGGGAAGAAGACGCGAUGACCGAGAAGCAAAAGUGGAACCUUAGAGUCAUGAGAGGAUGGUGAGUUUGAGGGCAUGGGAGCCCUGUCCACUAGUAACAUGGACCUCCUGAAUGCCUGACCCUGGCCAACCCCAUCAGCACUUCCUCCUCUGCGUGUGUGGGGGGCAGGGUGUGUGGGCACGGCGGGGAACAGGGGUUUAGCAGCAGUGAGACUCAGGCAUUUUCAGGCCGGUAGGAACCAAGCCGCUCUGAGACUCAGUCUGGCCACAGCCACCAUCCCCUGGGAGGAGAGGAUUGGCAAGACCUGGUGGACCAUUAGGGAGUGGCCUGAAGUUUAGGGCAGAGGUUCUGCCCAAAGGGGAAUGGGAUUCUGCUGGGGGACCAGGAUGCAGCCACAGGGGGGGAGCAGGGGCAGGUAGGAGGGAGCAGGGAUGCUCCAAGUUUAGGGGCAUGUUCUGCUGGAGUCGGUCACUUUGGGGUCACUAGCAAGCAAGCCUCCUGGUAUCUCUGCUUCGGGGUGCUCUGUCCUGUGACUCACUGUAACCAAUGAAGCAGGUGGGAGUGACAGGGAAGUGUGCUAGUUCCAGGCCUAAGCUUCUGCUUUUGCACUGGGGAAGCCUGAGCUGCCGCAUAGUGCACUGAACCCCGAGACUUGUGGAGAGAGUGAGGUACAGCUGUCCCAGCCUCCCAGCUGAGCCUGGCCCCACUGACCCUUCGGCUCCAUGUAGCAUGUGCCUGACUGCUGGCCAGGCCAGCAGGAGAUGUCCCCCAGCAGAGCCCAGCCCUGCUUGCAGAAUCCUGGCAAGUAAAGUGACCAUUCAUUUAAGUGGCUGAGUUUUGGGGUAGCUGAAACUCCCACUCCAAGUCUAUCCUCUGGCUCCUGCCUGGUGGGCAGAGGUAGCUGAUCCACCUCCUGCUCUGGACAGACCUGGCUCUGGCACUGGGAGGACUUGAUGCCACAGGGAGAGACUCCAUGAGUGACACUGGCAUGGGCAGGUUGGCAAAUAGGGUAUCAGCAGAAGUGGCCUGAGUUGGGUGGUAUCUCUGUGCCCAAGGGGUCUGGGGCAGGUACUCCCAGGCAGUGCUAAUCUGCCCAUGGCCCAAGGGACAUCUUGGAGCUCAGCUGACUGGUUUUUGCAGACUGUGGCUCAAUCUACAGCGUUGUCCAAAGCAUCCUUCACAGGCUGCCAGACAUAAAGCAUGUCUGGGUUAUCUUGUUCCUCACCGAGUGGGCGUCAAGCUCAGCGUCUGACACAAGUGGACUCAAGCUAGCUACAUGGAGGAGUGCGCGAGAGGGGAGCCUUCCCCUGGGGCUUCCAUGGUGGAUCCCUUAUAGCCCUCACCAGACCCUGAGCCAUUCUCUGUAGUCAGACCGAAGGCGUUGGGAGGCCAGGGAUGGAUCUGGAAGGGGUGCCGUGCACACAGGAAGUGCCCGGCAAUGCUUGUGGCAUGAAGAAAUGUGGGAGAUGGAGAGCCUCAACCUCUUCUAGAUGCUUUUGCUGCAGGCAGGUGUGGUGUGCGCAUGCACAGGACAGAGCUGAUAAAGACUGACCUUCGUCUCCUCCUGGGAGGCACAGAGAGUCCGAUGUCCGUUAUGUGUCAAUAAUUCUGCAUUAUUUAAAAUUUAGGUAUUGUGACCAAAACACAUUUAUUUGUUUAUUUAUUUAUUUAUUUUAUUAUACUUUAAGUUCUAGGGUAGAUGUGCACAACAUGCCGGUUUGUUACAUAUGUAUACAUGUGCCAUGUUGGUGUGCAGCACCCAUCAACUCGUCAUUUACAUUAGGUAUAUCUCCUAAUGCUAUCCCUCUCCACUUCCCUCACCCCACACCAGGCCCUUCCUGUGAUGUUCCCCUUCCUGUGUCCUAGUGUUCUCAUUGUUCAGACCAAAACACAUUUAUAAACUCACCUGUCAGUAUCUCUUGCCAUCUUCUCAUCCCUUGCGGGUCAGAGGACCCUCAAGAUGGAUCAGCAGUGACCUUGUGCAUAUGGAGAGGGGCCCUGGGGGUGUGGAGCCUGCUGGGCAUUGCAGAGCUGACGGUGCCUCUGUGUCGUUGCUCCAUGGAGUCUGUCUGCCCCCAGCUCCACUCCUCCCAUGUCACCAUCCCCAGCCCACCCCACACAUUUCCACUCUGAAACUCUGUGAGAUGUGAGGAUCUGUCUGUGUGUUUUCAAUGAAUGCAAGUGUACUACCCAUCUCCUAUUUCUUACCUCUGCUCUGAGCCUGAUGCUCUUCAGAUUAACCAUGGUCCUUCCUGGGCCUCUGGCAUUGCUUUGUGUAGCUGUUAGUCUUUUUUUUUUCUCCUGUAGCCCAAGCUGGAGUGCAGUGGCACAUUCUUGGCUUACUGCAACCUUUACCUCCAGGGCUCAAGUGAUCUCCUGCCUCAGCCUCCCAAGUAGCUGGACUACAGCCAUUCCUUCCCAUGUCAGGAGGCUUCCUUGCAGCAUGUGCUGAUCAAUUCCCAUCUGAUCCACCACUGUACAGAGAGGUCCAAGAGGCAAGGCGCUGAGAUUAUCUGUCUACAGCUCUGUGAGUGAGUCGCCAUGGAUGUGGGGUCUCCUGUUCAGUCAAGCCUUCCAUGACCACAGUCGCAGCUGCACCUUGACCACCAACCUGUGAGAGACCCCAGACAUUUGCUGAUGACCUUCAUGCCAGAUGCCCACUUGAGAGCGUGGAGAGAGUGGCAUGUAGCACUCUCUGCCUGCUGAGUGGCCUGUACACGCCCCUGGGGUCGCUGGCUCCAGGGCCUGUGUUUGUCCUGCUAUGGCAAACCACACUGCCUUCUCUAAGGCAGCAUCUCCUGGUGGGAAGAGUAUCAUCUGCUUUGAAGUUCUGUGAAUGGACCAGAGGAAGUGAAAUGAAGAAAAGAGACCAAAUGGGAAGCUGUUGCUAUGGUCCAGGCAGGGGGUGCUGAUGACAGGAGAUGCUGGAGGCCAGAGCCAGGGCUGGCAGUCACUGGUCAGCAGAGGAUGCCAUAUGUCAUUUGACAGAUUUGGAAGUUGGAAGAACGUGCACCGCCCAUUUCCUUCAGGACAAGAGCGUGGAGGGGUGGGAAAGCCCUCUCUCUAUGUGGGGCGCUGUGGAAACCCAAAUCGCAAAGUCAUCUCUUCGUUAUUUGUGAAAGAAUGGACAAUUGUGUACCUGGUUGGAAAUCUUUAAUUUCACAUUUCUUAAACAUCAGAUUUUCAAAAACGGGAGCAGGUCCCGGAGCCAGCAGUUUGGACAGUGGCCUCUGGAUUCCUCGACUCCUUGGCCAUGGCGGAGGCAGAUGUUCACACCGGGCAAGCUCUGUGCAUCUUCCUGGGCUGUUCCUGGAGGGAGGAAUGACCAGCUUCUGCCAGCCCCUCCAGCCCUUCCAGAAACUUGGCCGUUGCUGAAUUCCCUGUAUCAACCCCUUUCUGCUCAAAUGAACUGGUGAGGUUUCUGAUACUGAUCAGGUGCAUCUGAUCCUGACUGGUAAACAAGAACAGAAGGGAGCCUCAAGAACAAAGGCCAUCGGAAAGGCCGUUCCCUGGCGUGGAGCCCCACAGGCCGUUCCCUGGCGUGGAGCCCCACAGCCCCUCAACCGUGGUUGAGGUUGACUGAAAACAGAGCAAGAGAGGCCCUCGCCCAUCUCAGGCCCUCUCCAUGCCCUCUUUCUGGUGGGAUCCAUGAAAGAAACUGGCAGCAUGUUUCUAUUUCUUGGGAUUUAAGAUCCUUUGUGUGAAAUAUUUAAAAAACCAGGUUAUGGUUUAUCCGUAAAUUCUGACUGCAUCCCACUGGCUUCCUGACACCUCGUGGGCCAUUUUUCCUCCCCCGGGUUCCACAGUGUUCCGCCGUAUGGAUGCACCACAUUUGGCUUCUCCAUACGCCCACCAGUGACUGCUUUCUGGGCAUUAUGACCAACACUGAUGAGAGCAUUUGUGUACGUUUUUCUUUGACUCCCUGCAGAAUUUUGGUGUGGGCUGAUUCUCGGGUUUCACUGGACCCGGCCUCCUCUGGUGAGUGCCUGCUAAGACUGUAAUUCACUGAUUGGCUAUCCUGGGAUUUGUUUUCCUCAGAUGAGACUGAUGCUUUCUGCUAAAUACAAUGGAUUACUUAGAGGGUCUUGAAGGGGCAUGAUACUGCAAUAUGCACCUUCCAUGGCCUGGAAUCUUCCUGAGUCUUGUCUUGGUUGAACUGCCUUCCAUGUACACGUGGGGUCUGUCUCUCUCUCUACUAUGUUUUUCGAAGGAUCCUCUGAGGCUAUUUCUGGAUUUUCCUGCUACUGUCUCUAUUUCCCAAAGACCCAACUCUGUUCUCAGAUUUAUCAAAGCUUUGAGACCAGAAGUAUUUGAAGUAUGAGAUCAACUCUAUUAGCGCCUUAGGAAUUAAGAUGCCAGGCCUGUUUCCUGAUAAUGCUCUGUUUUAGUAAUCACGGCUUUGUGCCACCUUAUACUGUAUAUAUCUGAUCUUUUGCAUGGAUGGCAUUUGCUUUCAGUAAGAUUGGUUUAGGGCUGAGGUGAUUGUGAGCUGCGUUGCUGGAAGAGUGGCGAUUGGAGGAAGAUGGUGAUCCCCUGCCCCACCCAAGCUGUGGAUACAUCAUCUCUCGACCACUGCCCCCAGGGUAGAGGCUGAAGCCCACGUAGAUGCCCCCAGUCACUCACGACGGCUUGCUGUUCAAGGCUCCCUGCUUUGUUCCCUGUGCCACGCCCUGCAUGAUGCCAGUGCCGUGGUGCCCAUGGGUUGCCAAUCUGCAAACAUGAGUGACAUGGCUCAGCAAAACCUCCUCUUGACGUCCAUGGAAAGCGCGGGGCCGCUGAGCAUGACCCAGAGAACUGCAGAGUGUGUGUCUCAAGCUCUCUGGGCACAUGAGCCCACUAGCCCCCUCUGAGGAUGUUGGAAAGGAGGAGAAGAAAGAGGAAAGCAGAGAGGAUCGCCGCGCAGAGUCCAGGCUGCAGCUUGGGCUUUGUGCACCUCUGCCUGCUAACGGGAUCCACCUCAAGUCAAGAAGGUGCUGGCUCACCCUUCCCUCAAGAUUUUAGAGAUCCCAGUGCAUGUCCUGGAAAUCCUUUAAAAUUCAAAGAAAACAAGCAAAGCUCUGGCUAAUUAAAUGUUUUCUGCUUACCGUCGUUAACAUAUUAAUGAGACAGGUUAAAUGUAUUACUUAGUGGUGUAUUACUUAGCUCUUAGGUCUGUGCACCCCUUUUUGAGAGGAUUUCUCCAUGUGGCAUCUGUGUUUACAGUGCACUGGCUUUCUGUUCAUAGGGCUUUUACGUGGGGGUGAUGGCACGGCAGAAAGCAUCCCCAGGGUGAGAAGGGGAUGGGGAGGUCCACAUUGCAGUUCAGACCCCCUGGACACCUGCCUUUGAGAUAGCCACGUCCCUCAGCCUUUCCUUUCAAAGGAUGGUGGGUCAGUUUCUAAUGUUCCCAUUUUGACCUCUCAGACUCAGGGACUGGGGCUAGAGCACAGGUCCUCUCGCUGAGGUCACUGUAGCGCUUCAGAGGCAUCAGCACUCUUGCUUUCUUUAGCACAUCCUUGGUUUUCAGUUUUUAUGGGUACACAGUGAGCCACCCCAAACUUAGUACAACAGCAGCCAUUUUGCUGUGUUCGCGGAUUCUGUGGGUAAGGAAUUUGGAAGGAGCCCAGGGUGUGGUGCGUCAGUUGGGAGGAUUCGAGUUGAUAGUAGUUUUGCUCACUCCCCUGUCUGUGGCGCACAUGGCCUCUGUGUGACUGGGCUUCCUUGCAGCAUGGCAUCCUGAGCCGCCUUCCACGGGGGCUUGCUCAGGGCUCCCAGCACGAGGGUUCCAGCCAACAGGGUGGAUUCCACAGCGCCUUUUCUGGCCCAGUCUCUGCCACACUGAAUCAUCUAUACCUGGCGAAAUCCGACUUCCUUUCUGCCAGACCCUUCUCUGGUCCUCAAGGUCCCUUACUGUUUUUGCCCUUGGUUACAACCUCCUGUGUACCUGUCCUGGAGUGUUGUGGUUAGGAGUGUGGUCUCGGGUGCAGACUGAAAUAUACUGCUGUGUGCAGUAGGAACCUUGGCUGCUGCCCUAUGUUCAUGGCAAGCACUUCAGAGCCGAGCCUGGUGCGAGGCGAGUCCUCCAUCAACGGCCUUGACUUUUCUUUCCCAGACUAAAGUGCAGGUUCCUUCAGGGAAGCUCUGUCUUGGUCAUCUCUGCCUGGCAUUUCCUGCAGGACUUGGCAAGUACUGCGUUCCCUCUGCUUGGGGAGUCUGCGCUGGGUCUGUCUCCUGUUCUGUAAGUCUCACAAAUUCACCCUCUCAGAGCAGCCGUCUCUGCCUGUCCCCUGCUAGGAGCUGUGGUGCCCCCCACUCAUCUUGUUUCCUUUUGUUCAUGACACUAGCUCUAAUGAAAAUGUUUCAUCCCCCGUUUGUUUCUGUCAGACCAGGAUGUGAACCCCAGCAGAGGCAGAUCUGGGCCUGUCUCCUUCCCUGCUAUUCAGUGCCUACAAGAGGGUCUGGGCCAAAAAUGAAGGGAGAGGAGGAAGGGAGGGGUAAAAAGAUCGACUUCAGGAAGAUUUCAGAAACACGGUGCUGAGAGUAGUAGGGCCAUGUACCAGGGUGGGAUUUACUUCCUUUUUACACACUUAACAAAUCUCAAAGACAUCCAUUCAGCUUUCAGUUUAGGUGAAAUCUAUUCAUAAUAAAAAUAAAAUGGUAUCUCAACGACAACUUAAUUUUGAGUGAAAAUAUUUUCCAGAGGGCAGGGGGCUCUAAAUACGAAGAAGCAGAGAAGCGCGUCACCUCUCCCUAGUGGACUCAUGGCCCUCGAUGGAGCCACCUGGAGCCCAGGCACUUUGUGGUUUAUUCCUGGGUCGCCUCCACCUCCGUCCCUCAGUUAUGAGGCUGUGAUGAUCCACAGCAAGCCCCCAUUCUUGCUGCUCCACUGGUGUGAUUUUCUUGGAACCGAAAUGAGGAGAGGACAGGAUUGUGUGUUUUGCAAAAGCACAGCGUUAGACGUUCGUUGGUUUUCCUCUGUGCUUCCACGACUUGAGGGCAACCAUCUAGCAGUUUACAGGGGUUCUGAAUAAAUUCCAGGGACCUGGAAAUUAUUGGAUUUAUUUUAUUUUGAGUAGAAACAUGUUAUGUUUAGUUUGGUAACGGCAUGCUCUACUUAGUGUGAUCAUGCCUAGCUCUCUUGUUUUGUAUCCGCUUUGGAGUCUGGCUCUGGGCAAGUACUCAAAUGCUCACAGGAAUUCCACGGCUCAGGGCAUCCUCUGAACCCAAGGGCCUCUAAAGGGGGAACAGCAACGUGGGAACAUGGGUGGGGACAGCGAGUGAGGGGCCGGGUGCAGGGUGACGGCAGGUGUAGGUUCUGCACCAUGCACACUGCACUGCAUGGGGGCACUGUGCGUUCCCCAGCGGAGCGCAAUGAUGCCGCAGAGUGUGAAGUCACAGGUCUCAGCACUCAGCGGGGAGUGGAGGUGCUUGGGUUUGAGAACCCGGGGGAGCAGGCAGCUCGGGGCCAGCAGAUCCGCCCCUCUGCCCUUGGGGAGCUUUUGGCCGUCUGCUGGGUGAGAGCGUGGUGGUCACUGGUGGGUUCACGUGAUUCCCCGUCAUUGUGUCUCUACGGCCCCGCCCUCCCUGACUGUGCCUCCGUGCCCUCUGCAGUUGAACGUUAGUCAUGAUCAUAGGACUUUAAUGAUCUUAUUAAGUACCCAGUGCCGGCCUCAAUUUUUACUUGGAGAAUGUGGGGUUUACAUGACAAAAUAUGACUCAUGCACGCAUGCUGACUGCCAGAAUUAGGGGCUCUUGGGCUUAGCUGCUGGUUGGAGUCACCUGGGAGCUUCAGGAAACUCCAAGGCCAGGCCUUCCCUCCCAGAGGUGGGGCUGAACGGACCUGGGGUGCAACCUGGGCUCUGGGGCUCAGGAGCUGCCGCAGGCUGGGGGGAGCCAGCAGGGCACCUGUGGGGUUCUCUGGGUGGUCCAGCGGAAGCCAAUGCUGGGCUCUGGAGAGGAGAGUGAGCAGCAGUGCGGAGUUCAAACCCUCAUCACAGACCUGGCUGCUCAGGGCAGCACGACCUUUUGGAAGAGUAUGUGGGCGAGAAAUUGGAUUAUUUAUCUAAAAUAAAUGCCAGCAUGGUGUGAGUGGGUGACUUUGUUUAGAUGUAACUAUGCAUAGAUUAGGCUGUUUGGAUGUGUUUAAUUAUGGCAUGUGAUGGCACCACUUUACCAAUCAUUUGCAUUAAAUGUCCUCAAGCCUAGUUUGAGACUUUAGAUCAAGUUAAAACUGUUUUAUCUGUCAGCACCUGGGAGACUUGGGAAGGACUGUCACUGCAGGACCAGUCCUAACUGUCCCUAUCAUGUGGAUCACAGGAUGUCAAGCUGUUUUGCAGAAGUAGCAGAGCCGAAACUGCAGUCAUAUGACCUGGGCAUGUGGACAGCAGGAAACCAUCACCUCAGUAACACUUAGAACCAACGUUUCCUCCCUGAGGAAUCAAAAAGCCUGGGCAUCACUGGAAGCUGAACACUGGAACCCUUUCAGAAAUAAGCGGUCUGUUAUCCAGAAAGAGCCAGUGCUGAAGUCCACCGUUCCCCACCUUACCGUAAAUAACCACGUUUAAAGCUGUCCCAUCAAAAUCCGCCCCGCCAGUGCAUCUGCAUACCAACCUGCCCUCUCCAGCCCACUAGAGUCUCACCCGACCUAAUACUGGGGAUUCAGAUCUGAGCCCUGCCUCCUGUCUCCUUGCUGGUUGGCCUUGCAAU